RNAcentral lists this microRNA (22 nucleotides) under Oreochromis niloticus (Nile tilapia). RNAcentral describes it as "oni-miR-10845". Lineage: Eukaryota; Metazoa; Chordata; Actinopteri; Cichliformes; Cichlidae. The record is from miRBase by way of RNAcentral.
UGUCAACAGAGCAUGAGGCUGU